Malurus melanocephalus (red-backed fairy wren) is the source of this 228-nucleotide long non-coding RNA. RefSeq lists it as uncharacterized. The record is from RefSeq and is a predicted model, not a curated record. The transcript is spliced from 3 exons. Lineage: Eukaryota; Metazoa; Chordata; Aves; Passeriformes; Maluridae.
GAGUGAAAGCUGCUUACCUCGGAGCUUCAAAAUAAGUCUGCUGAGCUGGAAGAGAUGACUAAACUAAAAUGUGACAAGGAAAGGCAACUUGAAGAGCUGUCAGAAACCCUGGUUAAAGAAUGAAYAACUAACAGUGCAUCUGAAUGAGCUCAUACUAGAGAAAGAACAAAUAGCACAAGAGAAAAAUGGUGUGGCUGCAGAACUCAAGAAACUGCAAGGAAGACAAGA